This 467-nucleotide ribosomal RNA is filed under the name uncultured bacterium. Its description in RNAcentral is "bacterial SSU rRNA". It matches the Rfam family "Bacterial small subunit ribosomal RNA", at positions 28 to 503 of the family's 1533-position model. The record is from RNAcentral.
GAUGAACGCUGGCGGCGUGCUUAACACAUGCAAGUCGAACGGGAUCCCAGGAGCUUGCUCCUGGGUGAGAGUGGCGAACGGGUGAGUAAUGCGUGACCGACCUGCCCCAUACACCGGAAUAGCUCCUGGAAACGGGUGGUAAUGCCGGAUGCUCCAGUUGACCGCAUGGUCCUCUGGGAAAGAUUCAUCGGUAUGGGAUGGGGUCGCGUCCUAUCAGCUUGAUGGCGGGGUAACGGCCCACCAUGGCUUCGACGGGUAGCCGGCCUGAGAGGGCGACCGGCCACAUUGGGACUGAGAUACGGCCCAGACUCCUACGGGAGGCAGCAGUGGGGAAUAUUGCACAAUGGGCGCAAGCCUGAUGCAGCGACGCCGCGUGCGGGAUGACGGCCUUCGGGUUGUAAACCGCUUUUGACUGGGAGCAAGCCCUUCGGGGUGAGUGUACCUUUCGAAUAAGCACCGGCUAACUA